Molecule: ribosomal RNA, 270 nt
Filed under: uncultured bacterium
Lineage: Bacteria
Description: partial 16S ribosomal RNA
Rfam family: Bacterial small subunit ribosomal RNA
Source: RNAcentral
UACCGAGGGGGCAAGACGUUGUUCGGGAAGUUAUUGGGCGUUAAAGGGUCGGCGUAGGCGGUUUUGGUUAAAGGUCUUGUGGUGAAAUUCUUCAGGCUCAACUUGAAAGACUCGCACGAGAAACUGGCAGGGCUUGAGUGUGGGAGAGGUGAGUGGAAUUCCGUGGUGUAGCGGUGAAAUGCGUAGAUAUCAGGAGGAACACCUGUGGCGAAAGCGGCUCACUGGACCACAACUGACGCUGAUGCACGAAAGCUAGGGGAGCAAACAGGA